Molecule: microRNA precursor, 87 nt
Organism: Nicotiana attenuata
Lineage: Eukaryota; Viridiplantae; Streptophyta; Magnoliopsida; Solanales; Solanaceae
Rfam family: MIR6152 microRNA precursor family
Source: Rfam
UGGACGGAUUACUGUAUUCACGGCGUGAAAUAGGGGAUUACACUGUUUUUAAAACGGAAAGUGAAUCAAUUAACAUAAUAGACUCUA